This is a long non-coding RNA of Oncorhynchus nerka (sockeye salmon), 912 nucleotides long. RefSeq lists it as uncharacterized. NCBI's taxonomy places the organism in Eukaryota, Metazoa, Chordata, Actinopteri, Salmoniformes, Salmonidae. The record is from RefSeq and is a predicted model, not a curated record. The transcript has 2 exons.
UUAAAGGUGGUAGAGUACACAUACAGGCCCAUUAAAGGUGGUAGAGUACACAUACAGGCCCAUUAAAGGUGGUAGAGUACACAUACAGGCCCAUUAAAGGUGGUAGAGUACACAUACAGGCCCAUUAAAGGUGGUAGAGUACACAUACAGGCCCAUUAAAGGUGGUAGAGUACACAUACAGGCCCAUUAAAGGUGGUAGAGUACACAUACAGGCCAAUUAAAGGUGGUAGAGUACACAUACAGGCCCAUUAAAGGUGGUAGAGUACACAUACAGGCCCAUUAAAGGUAGUAGAGUACACAUACAGGCCCAUUAAAGGUAGUAGAGUACACAUACAGGCCCAUUAAAGGUGGUAGAGUACACAUACAGGCCCAUUAAAGGUGGUAGAGUCCGCAUACAGGCCCAUUAAAGGUGGUAGAGUACACAUACAGGCCCAUUAAAGGUGGUAGAGUACACAUACAGGCCCAUUAAAGGUGGUAGAGUACACAUACAGGCCCAUUAAAGGUGGUAGAGUACACAUACAGGCCCAUUAAAGGUGGAGGUGUGUACAUACAGGCCAAUUAAAGAUGGUGGUGUACAUACAGGCCCAUUAAAGGUGGUAGAGUACACAUACAGGCCCAUUAAAGGUGGUAGAGUACACAUACAGGCCCAUUAAAGGUGGUAGAGUACACAUACAGGCCCAUUAAAGGUGGUAGAGUCCGCAUACAGGCCCAUUAAAGGUGGUAGAGUACACAUACAGGCCCAUUAAAGGUGGUAGAGUACACAUACAGGCCCAUUAAAGGUGGUAGAGUCCGCAUACAGGCCCAUUAAAGGUGGUAGAGUACACAUACAGGCCCAUUAAAGGUGGUAGAGUACACAUACAGGCCCAUUAAAGGUGGUAGAGUACACAUACAGGCCCAUUAAAGGUGGUAGAG